Molecule: ribosomal RNA, 277 nt
Filed under: uncultured prokaryote
Description: partial 16S ribosomal RNA
Rfam family: Bacterial small subunit ribosomal RNA
Source: RNAcentral
UACGUAUGGGGCGAGCGUUGUUCGGAAUUAUUGGGUGUAAAGGGCGUCUAGGCGGGAGAUUAAGUUAGAUGUGAAAGGCGUGGGCUUAAUCCACGAAUUGCAUCUAAAACUGGUUUUCUUGAGUUCGGGAGAGGAGAGCGGAAUUCUUGGUGUAGCGGUGAAAUGCGUAGAUAUCAAGAAGAACACCAGUGGCGAAGGCGGCUCUCUGGCCUAGAACUGACGCUGAAGCGCGAAAGCGUGGGUAGCGAACGGGAUUAGAUACCCGUGUAGUCCCUGA